GCAACUCGACUGCACGAAGCUGGAAUCGCUAGUAAUCGCGGAUCAGCACGCCGCGGUGAAUACGUUCCCGGGCCCUGUACACACCGCCCGUCACACCAUGGAAGUCUGCAAUGCCCGAAGCCGGUGGCCUAACCACUUAUGUGGAAGGAGCCGUCUAAGGCAGGGCAGAUGACUGGGGUGAAGUCGUAACAAGGUAAC
RNAcentral lists this ribosomal RNA (198 nucleotides) under uncultured bacterium. Its description in RNAcentral is "partial 16S ribosomal RNA". It matches the Rfam family "Bacterial small subunit ribosomal RNA", at positions 1307 to 1500 of the family's 1533-position model. The record is from RNAcentral.